ACCCGCUGAACUUAAGCAUAUCAAUAAGCGGAGGAAAAGAAACCAACCGGGAUUGCCUCAGUAACGGCGAGUGAAGCGGCAAAAGCUCAAAUUUGAAAUCUGGCCUCUUUCGGGGUCCGAGUUGUAAUUUGAAGAAGCGACUCUGGUACCGGCCCUUGUCUAUGUUCCUUGGAACAGGACGUCACAGAGGGUGAGAAUCCCGUGCGAUGAGGGCGCCGGGUACCAUGUAGAGCGUUUUCGACGAGUCGAGUUGUUUGGGAAUGCAGCUCUAAGUGGGUGGUAAAUUCCAUCUAAAGCUAAAUAUUGGCGAGAGACCGAUAGCGAACAAGUACAGUGAUGGAAAGAUGAAAAGAACUUUGAAAAGAGAGUGAAAAAGUACGUGAAAUUGUUGAAAGGGAAGGGCUUGAGAUCAGACAUUGUAUUUCCAUGGCUUUCUUUCGGGGGAGUCCUCUGGGUUUACAGGGCCAGCAUGGGUUCUGCGGGCAAGACGAGGGUUCCAGGAAUGUGACUCCACUGCGGUGGAGAGUUAUAGCCUGGAGACACCGGUUGCCACGCGGGACUGAGGACUGCGGUAUCUAGGAUGCUGGCAUAA
This 592-nucleotide ribosomal RNA is filed under the name Suhomyces bolitotheri. RNAcentral describes it as "LSU rRNA". It matches the Rfam family "Eukaryotic large subunit ribosomal RNA", at positions 23 to 634 of the family's 3401-position model. Lineage: Eukaryota; Fungi; Ascomycota; Pichiomycetes; Serinales; Debaryomycetaceae. The record is from RNAcentral.